GUCGAGCGAGGUUACUGUUUUGGAUCCCUUCGGGGUGAAGAAGCUUUAACCUAGCGGCGGACGGGUGAGUAACGCGUGGGUAACCUACCCCAAAGUCCGGGAUAACAGCGGGAAACCGCCGCUAAUACCGGAUGUCUUUACCUUGGGGCAUCUUGAGGUAAAGAAAGGUAACGCUUUGGGAUGGGCCCGCGUCCCAUUAGCUAGUUGGUGAGGUAACGGCUCACCAAGGCGACGAUGGGUAGCCGGCCUGAGAGGGUGGACGGCCACACUGGGACUGAGACACGGCCCAGACUCCUACGGGAGGCAGCAGUAGGGAAUAUUGCGCAAUGGACGGAAGUCUGACGCAGCGACGCCGCGUGAGCGAUGAAGGUCUUCGGAUCGUAAAGCUCUGUCCUUGGGGAAGAAGGCGAAAGCUUGACGGUACCCAAGAAGAAAGCCCCGGCUAACUACGUGCCAGCAGCCGCGGUAAUACGUAGGGGGCGAGCGUUGUCCGGAAUUACUGGGCGUAAAGGGUGCGUAGGCGGCCCUUUAAGUCGGAUGUGAAAGCCCGCGGCUUAACCGCGGAAUGGCAUUCGAAACUGGAGGGCUUG
RNAcentral lists this ribosomal RNA (590 nucleotides) under uncultured bacterium. RNAcentral's name for it is "bacterial SSU rRNA". It matches the Rfam family "Bacterial small subunit ribosomal RNA", at positions 61 to 644 of the family's 1533-position model. The record is from RNAcentral.